This 1507-nucleotide ribosomal RNA is filed under the name uncultured bacterium. RNAcentral describes it as "bacterial SSU rRNA". It matches the Rfam family "Bacterial small subunit ribosomal RNA". The record is from RNAcentral.
UUAUGGCUCAGGACGAACGCUGGCGGCGUGCCUAAUACAUGCAAGUCGAACGCUUCUUUUUCCACCGGAGCUUGCUCCACCGGAAAAAGAGGAGUGGCGAACGGGUGAGUAACACGUGGGUAACCUGCCCAUCAGAAGGGGAUAACACUUGGAAACAGGUGCUAAUACCGUAUAACAAUCGAAACCGCAUGGUUUUGAUUUGAAAGGCGCUUUCGGGUGUCGCUGAUGGAUGGACCCGCGGUGCAUUAGCUAGUUGGUGAGGUAACGGCUCACCAAGGCCACGAUGCAUAGCCGACCUGAGAGGGUGAUCGGCCACAUUGGGACUGAGACACGGCCCAAACUCCUACGGGAGGCAGCAGUAGGGAAUCUUCGGCAAUGGACGAAAGUCUGACCGAGCAACGCCGCGUGAGUGAAGAAGGUUUUCGGAUCGUAAAACUCUGUUGUUAGAGAAGAACAAGGAUGAGAGUAACUGUUCAUCCCUUGACGGUAUCUAACCAGAAAGCCACGGCUAACUACGUGCCAGCAGCCGCGGUAAUACGUAGGUGGCAAGCGUUGUCCGGAUUUAUUGGGCGUAAAGCGAGCGCAGGCGGUUUCUUAAGUCUGAUGUGAAAGCCCCCGGCUCAACCGGGGAGGGUCAUUGGAAACUGGGAGACUUGAGUGCAGAAGAGGAGAGUGGAAUUCCAUGUGUAGCGGUGAAAUGCGUAGAUAUAUGGAGGAACACCAGUGGCGAAGGCGGCUCUCUGGUCUGUAACUGACGCUGAGGCUCGAAAGCGUGGGGAGCAACAGGAUUAGAUACCCUGGUAGUCCACGCCGUAAACGAUGAGUGCUAAGUGUUGGAGGGUUUCCGCCCUUCAGUGCUGCAGCUAACGCAUUAAGCACUCCGCCUGGGGAGUACGACCGCAAGGUUGAAACUCAAAGGAAUUGACGGGGGCCCGCACAAGCGGUGGAGCAUGUGGUUUAAUUCGAAGCAACGCGAAGAACCUUACCAGGUCUUGACAUCCUUUGACCACUCUAGAGAUAGAGCUUCCCCUUCGGGGGCAAAGUGACAGGUGGUGCAUGGUUGUCGUCAGCUCGUGUCGUGAGAUGUUGGGUUAAGUCCCGCAACGAGCGCAACCCUUAUUGUUAGUUGCCAUCAUUCAGUUGGGCACUCUAGCAAGACUGCCGGUGACAAACCGGAGGAAGGUGGGGAUGACGUCAAAUCAUCAUGCCCCUUAUGACCUGGGCUACACACGUGCUACAAUGGGAAGUACAACGAGUCGCGAAGUCGCGAGGCUAAGCUAAUCUCUUAAAGCUUCUCUCAGUUCGGAUUGCAGGCUGCAACUCGCCUGCAUGAAGCCGGAAUCGCUAGUAAUCGCGGAUCAGCACGCCGCGGUGAAUACGUUCCCGGGCCUUGUACACACCGCCCGUCACACCACGAGAGUUUGUAACACCCGAAGUCGGUGAGGUAACCUUUUGGAGCCAGCCGCCUAAGGUGGGAUAGAUGAUUGGGGUGAAGUCGUAACAAGGU